Molecule: long non-coding RNA, 641 nt
Filed under: Junco hyemalis (dark-eyed junco)
Lineage: Eukaryota; Metazoa; Chordata; Aves; Passeriformes; Passerellidae
Description: lncRNA (ENSJHYG00000004181.1)
Source: RNAcentral
AUGAGAUCAAAGGAGGUGGAUGGGGGCUGCCGAAGGAUCUCUCUCCUCGAAAAUACUUCCUGUUUGCCUACAGGACAGCAAACAUUUCCCGCCGCGUACCGGGAUUUGCCGUCAUUGACGACUCAGCGAGCGAACCACGCACUCUCUUUCCUGGGAAAGGGGAAAGUCUCUCCCAGUGUCCCCUUGCCCCACGGGCGGGCUGCGGAAGGUGCGCGGGAUCCCGCCCAGUGGUAUUACACACCAUUUGAAGAGUUUAAAGAAGCAACUGUUGAUAUUUCCCCAUAAGGGACCAAAGAAAUGACGAAGAAAAAGUUUGAAACUGUAAUCUUGGGUAAAUCAUAGACAAAUGAAAUGAACAGCUGUGGUUAGGGUGGGAUGGGAUUCAUCAUGCUUGCAAGGUUUUAUGAACGCUAUUUUUUUCCUUAAUCAUAACCUUAGGGGUGGGAGGGAUUUAGAGCAGGGCAUGCAUUAAGGUUGGAAUGUCAAACUUGACUUUGAAUUUCCUGGCUUUUUAUCAGCAUGCAUGAAAAAGUGUAAUGUUAUUCAAACAUAGCUUCUUUAAUCUUGAUUUUGUUAUAUAAAUAUUUUUUGUUGAAAUGGAAUAUAAUAAAAUAUCUAUUCUUUACCUAGAAGUCUAGAUU